RNAcentral lists this ribosomal RNA (468 nucleotides) under uncultured bacterium. Its description in RNAcentral is "partial 16S ribosomal RNA". It matches the Rfam family "Bacterial small subunit ribosomal RNA", at positions 28 to 507 of the family's 1533-position model. The record is from RNAcentral.
GACGAACGCUGGCGGCGUGCUUAACACAUGCAAGUCGAACGGAAAGGCCCUGCUUUUGUGGGGUGCUCGAGUGGCGAACGGGUGAGUAACACGUGAGUAACCUGCCCUUGACUUUGGGAUAACUUCAGGAAACUGGGGCUAAUACCGGAUAGGAGCUCCUGCUGCAUGGUGGGGGUUGGAAAGUUUCGGCGGUUGGGGAUGGACUCGCGGCUUAUCAGCUUGUUGGUGGGGUAGUGGCUUACCAAGGCUUUGACGGGUAGCCGGCCUGAGAGGGUGACCGGCGACAUGGGGACUGAGAUACGGCCCAGACUCCUACGGGAGGCAGCAGGGGGGAAUCUUGCACAAUGGGCGGAAGCCUGAUGCAGCAACGCCGCGGGCGGGAUGACGGCCUUCGGGUUGUAAACCGCAUUCGCCUGUGACGAAGCGUGAGUGACGGUAAUGGGUAAAGAAGCACCGGCUAACUACGUG